GGUUUAGCUCAGUGGCAUAAGCACCUGCCUUGCAAGCAGGUGGACGUGAGUUCGAUUCCCGGUACCG
This is a non-coding RNA of Cavia porcellus (domestic guinea pig), 67 nucleotides long. The record is from Rfam. NCBI's taxonomy places the organism in Eukaryota, Metazoa, Chordata, Mammalia, Rodentia, Caviidae.